UGCAACCUUCACCUGAGGUGUAGUGUACUAUAUAUUUUGUAUCUAUUGCCUUCAAUUUUGUAUCUACUAUAUAUAUUCAUGAGAUAACAACUUUGUGUAUGACAAAUUUAUGGUUUGAUUAGAGUUAGAAAUUUGUUGUGUGUGAUUUACUUCCAUAAAAUAAAUGCAAUAUAAAAAACAAUAGAAUGAUUGUUUAUGAAGUUGUAAAAUUACAGACAAGUAGAUUAUCUUAGAGGACUACAGAAAAUCUUUAAUAUCAUAGUAUCAGUCACACUUCUUACUCUUAUUCAUAACCAUAAUAAAAGAUAAACUUAGUACAAACUUCAUAGCACAAAAAUAAAAUAUAUCUAUACUAUAGCAAAGACAUAUACCAAAGAAGAGGCAUUGCCUUGUCCAUAAAGAGUACAUAAAUAUAACAUUCAGACAAUAAACAACAUUAUUUCAAAUAUAUAGAUAUAUAUAUCAAUAACACACAAACUAGACAUGACUAUAAUAUCUCUUAUCAUCAUGAAAGAAGAUUACUUCCGCUUAAGGAGCAUCAUUGCUAUUAGGUGCGACAUUUGUGUCAUCGGUACAAAACUUACCAUACACACCCCAAAAGUAAGGAGUACUCAAGCACAUGCUAUACAAAAUCAUACAAUCUACGCACUUUCCAAAUUUUUUAGAUUUGUAAAUACCACUAUCUUUCUUCAUCCGAUUAGUUCUUCCGACUUCCUCAGCACUAUAACCAUUCAGAAAAAUUGCCACAAGAAGAAGAAAUAGAACAAGUGAAGUAGUGGUUUUGCUCAUAGUGUACUUUUUUUAAAAGGCAAACUAAGAAUAUAAAGAAAAGAAAGAUAGUACAACCAAAGAGAAUGAGUAUUUUCUGAUUUCUUCUUAUGGAUAUUGUUUUGCAUGGAAUGAAAUUGGC
RNAcentral lists this long non-coding RNA (910 nucleotides) under Lathyrus oleraceus (garden pea). RNAcentral describes it as "Pisum sativum (pea) long non-coding RNA (PSAT_LNC016783)". The record is from RNAcentral. Lineage: Eukaryota; Viridiplantae; Streptophyta; Magnoliopsida; Fabales; Fabaceae.